UACAGAGGGUGCGAGCGUUAAUCGGAAUUACUGGGCGUAAAGCGUGCGUAGACGGUUUUGUAAGUCGGAUGUGAAAUCCCCGGGCUCAACCUGGGAACUGCAUCUGUGACUGCAUCGCUGGAGUACGGUAGAGGGGGAUGGAAUUCCGCGUGUAGCAGUGAAAUGCGUAGAUAUGCGGAGGAACACCGAUGGCGAAGGCAAUCCCCUGGACCUGUACUGACGCUCAUGCACGAAAGCGUGGGGAGCAAACAGG
This 253-nucleotide ribosomal RNA is filed under the name uncultured bacterium. RNAcentral describes it as "partial 16S ribosomal RNA". It matches the Rfam family "Bacterial small subunit ribosomal RNA", at positions 524 to 776 of the family's 1533-position model. The record is from RNAcentral.